UCUCUUGUCACCAAGUUAUGCUUGUGUUUCUUUUAGCCUUUCACGAAGACGCUGACGUUUGGGAUCUGGAUGGCUACGAAGGUGACGGCGAAGCUGAAGCGAGGGCCCUAGACAUGUUGGAGAACGAUGAUCCCCUACUCAUGGAAGACUACAUCUUGUCAUGAUGCUGGAUGCUGCAGAGGGGGUGGCUGCGUGCCGAGGCAGACGUGGAAGACGCUCAGAGUCUCAGCUCUCCAGAUGUGUCACGCUCUCACUUUUCUCGUACCACUUCGCUGUCUUCUUCUCCCACAUCACCCACCUAAAGUAGAAAACAUUGCGUGCCUCACCCUUCCCCCCAUCUCCGCAGCCUUUUCAUCAUAUAAGAUGGCCUGACUGCAGUGUACAUAGCUUGGAAAAUGGCGCCUUUUCGCGCGUCGUCACGUUUUCCCGGGCACGUAAUGCUUGCUGGUUCUGUUUUUUUUUUAGUCGUUCAAGUUGGAAGCAACCCGCUUUUCCCCCUCCCCUCCUCGAUUGUUUGCCAGCAAGAGAAGUUUGUGAUAUAGGUUUAGGCUUUCGAAUAGGCAUAGUCUUGUUGUGGAACUUUUGCUGGCUUUUUGAGUGACGAACGAUGUUCGAUGAAGUGUGAAGACUUGGAACUUGUAGUUGCAUUGUUCUUUUGUUUUUGUGUACAAGUGUGCUGAGCAGCUGCCGUGUGUUAUGUUAUCAAAACAAGAAGGCUUCCUGUUGCCUCAUGCAUUUUUUUGAAGCAAAUUAUGUAGCGCUAAAGUUUGUGUAUGUAGGGUAAUGCUAGGGCAGCUGUGUUCUUGUCCUGUGUGGGAGGGACGCUUAAAAGGAAGGCAUUCGGAAUUGUGCGUUUUUGCCUUUUAGCCCCGUGUUCAACAAAGACACAAAUUUCCGCUGCGGUUGAGCGAUUGAUCACAGUUUUCGUAUUUUUGCUGUUAUGUGUCUGCUUCAGAAUGUUAUUGCACAUGGUUAAUAAUCUGUGUUGUUUUCUAGCCAGCUGUGCAGGGGGCAGCAUUAGGGAUCUUAUGUAGUCAAACUUUCAGUGGCACAUGUGUCUGUAUUAUUAUGACAUUUGAUUUCCUAAGUAUUGAUGUAAGUUAGGUAGUUAAUUUGUUACUUACUGGAUUGUUUUUUAUAUCAUCAGCUUCAACAUUAGCGAGCCAAAAAAGAAAAUGCUCACAGUUUUCUGAUGCAAUCUCUCCCACAGCAAAACACAACCAUUUUGUGUUACUCUUACUACUUGCAAUAUGCAUAGAUGUAUAUGUGCACACAAAGACCUGUGGUGCUUGCUUGGGUUGUUGUAUGUAAGUCACUGUUUUAGUUUGAUUUCUGUUUCAAUGGCCAGUUAUCAAAAUGCUCUAUUCUAAAGUAGCACCUGAUAUAUAUUGUCACAUAUUUUCUGGAAAAGCACUGGCUACAAAGGUGUGUAGUUAUACCUUGUCGUCAAAUAGAUUUCUUGAAAUGCAUUGUGAAUAGUCCGAGUAAAUCAACGAUUGAAGGCAUUUGGGCUCCUCGCAUUAUUGCUUUUCAUUCACAAAGGUUGUCGGAAGUAGGACAUGCUGCUUGAGGCUUGCUUCAGAGGAAAGGGAUGCAAAUGCUAAAGCCUGCGUAAAUGAGAUGCGUAGACAAACGUAACCCUCCAAACACAUCACAGUUUCUCACACAGCUUCAUCUGCAGCAUCACAAAAGCCAAUUCCAAUGCUUGUGCAACGCUGACGUCUGCGUUUCCAGAGUGCUUUUCGUUGUGGAUCUGAUGUCUGAUUAUCUGUGAGUGGUGGUAGCCGCUGUUGAGAAGAGUUGUUGACUGCUGUACACAAUGCUCUAUUUUUCUCUCUCCUUGUUGUUUGCAGCAGCUGCAAAAUAGAUUAAAGAUGGGCAGGCUGCCCAUUGUGCGUUGA
This is a long non-coding RNA of Rhipicephalus microplus (southern cattle tick), 1901 nucleotides long. Lineage: Eukaryota; Metazoa; Arthropoda; Arachnida; Ixodida; Ixodidae. The record is from RefSeq and is a predicted model, not a curated record.